AGCAUAUCAAUAAGCGGAGGAAAAGAAACUAACAAGGAUUCCCUUAGUAGCGGCGAGCGAAGCGGGAAAAGCCCAGAACCGAAUCCCAGCGGUCUUGUGCUGCUGGGAAAUGUGGUGUUUGGUAUACUCCUUACGGUGCAUUGGAGUCGUUCUAAGUCCACGUGAUUGUGGCUUAAAAGCCCAGAGAGGGUGUAAGGCCCGUGAGAACGAUACAGUGUAUUCAUUGGAGUGUUCCUAGAGUCGGAUUGUUUGGGAAUGCAGUCCAAAGUGGGUGGUAAGCUCCAUCCAAGGCUAAAUACAACACGAGUCCGAUAGCGAACAAGUACCAUGAGGGAAAGUUGAAAAGAACUUUGAAGAGAGAGUUCAAUAGUGCGUGAAACCGCUCAGAGGUAAACAGGCAGAGCCGAAGAAGGGGUGUACAUUUGUCUUCCGCGAUAACUCAUGCUGAUGUUUAAGGAGAUUCGUAAGAACUCCCACGUUGGUGUGUAGUGUCGUGUUGGGCUAUUGUGCAUUUCCGGCACCACGAUCAGUGCCUAGAUUGGCCAUGUCAUACGGGGAAAGUUAACUGGUUCUUUUUGAACUAGAAUUUAUAGACUCUGUGUACAGCGCCGGUCGAACACUGAGAAAUGCGAUGCAGGACAAUGUGGUGUACAUGUUAGUGCUGGUUGCUGGUGCUCGGUAUUGACUCUAAGAGAUAAUGCCGGGUUGUCGGUGGUCGGUAUUGACCUCUGUAUACUGCAGGAAUGAAUCCGUGGUGAUUAUGUAAGCAAUCUGCCUGACCCGUCUUGAAACACGGACCAAGGAGUUUAGCAUGUGCGCGAGUCAUGGGGUCGUACGAAACCUAAAGGCGAAGUGAAAGUAAAGGCUUACAUUUUCGUGAGCUGAGGUAGGAUCUCGGUUUCUAUGUACAUUUUGUNNNAGUACUGAGCGCACUACCAGCUCGUCCAAUGCUUUAUUAAGCAGGGCGACGCAAGAGCGCACACGCUGAGACCCGAAAGAUGGUGAACUAUGCUUGUGUAGGCUGAAGCCAGAGGAAACUCUGGUGGAGGGCCGUAGCGAUUCUGACGUGCAAAUCGAUCGUCAAACAUGAGUAUAGGGGCGAAAGACUAAUCGAACCAUCUAGUAGCUGGUUCCCUCCGAAGUUUCCCUCAGGAUAGCUGGCACUCGAGAAAGAAACAGUUUUAUCCGGUAAAGCGAAUGAUUAGAAGUAUUGGGGAAAAACAUUCCUCAACUUAUUCUCAAACUUUAAAUGGGUGAGAAGCUGAACUCUCUUAAAUUGGAGUUGGGCAUUGAAUGUGAGUGCCUAGUGGGCCAUUUUUGGUAAGCAGAACUGGCGCUGUGGGAUGAACCAAACGUCUGGUUAAGGAGCCUAACACGACGCUCAUCAGAUACCACAAAAGGUGUUGGUUGAUAUAGACAGCAGGACGGUGGCCAUGGAAGUUGGAAUCCGCUAAGGAGUGUGUAACAACUCACCUGCCGAAUCAACUAGCCCUGAAAAUGGAUGGCGCUGGAGCGUUGGUCCUAUACCAGACCGAUACCGCAAGUCGCAUAAAUUGGAAGCAGUAUCGAGUAGGAGGGCGCUGUGGUGAGCAUUGAAGCUUCGGUCGUGAGACUGGGUGGAGCCGCCACGGGUGCAGAUCUUGGUGGUAGUAGCAAAUAUUCAAGUGAGAACCUUGAA
Molecule: ribosomal RNA, 1678 nt
Filed under: Proschizorhynchus sp. 2 JPS-2015
Lineage: Eukaryota; Metazoa; Platyhelminthes; Rhabdocoela; Schizorhynchidae
Description: eukaryotic LSU rRNA
Rfam family: Eukaryotic large subunit ribosomal RNA
Source: RNAcentral